AGUGAACGCUGGCGGUAGGCCUAACACAUGCAAGUCGAACGGCAGCACAGUAAGAGCUUGCUCUUACGGGUGGCGAGUGGCGGACGGGUGAGGAAUACAUCGGAAUCUACUUUUUCGUGGGGGAUAACGUAGGGAAACUUACGCUAAUACCGCAUACGACCUACGGGUGAAAGCAGGGGAUCUUCGGACCUUGCGCGAUUGAAUGAGCCAAUGUCGGAUUAGCUAGUUGGCGGGGUAAAGGCCCACCAAGGCGACGAUCCGUAGCUGGUCUGAGAGGAUGAUCAGCCACACUGGAACUGAGACACGGUCCAGACUCCUACGGGGGGCAGCAGUGGGGAAUAUUGGACAAUGGGCGCAAGCCUGAUCCAGCCAUACCGCGUGGGUGAAGAAGGCCUUCGGGUUGUAAAGCCCUUUUGUUGGGAAAGAAAAGCAGCAGGUUAAUACCCCGCUGUUCUGACGGUACCCAAAGAAUAAGCACCGGCUAACUUCGUG
Molecule: ribosomal RNA, 492 nt
Filed under: uncultured bacterium
Lineage: Bacteria
Description: partial 16S ribosomal RNA
Rfam family: Bacterial small subunit ribosomal RNA
Source: RNAcentral